UACAGAGGUCCCAAGCGUUGUUCGGAUUCACUGGGCGUAAAGGGUUCGUAGGUGGCUUGCUAAGUCAGACGUGAAAUCCCUCAGCUUAACUGGGGAACUGCGUCUGAUACUGGCGAGCUUGAGUGCAGGAGAGGAACGCGGAAUUCCAGGUGUAGCGGUGAAAUGCGUAGAUAUCAGGAGGAACACCAAUGGCGAAGGCAGAUCUCUGGGCCGUUACUGACGCUGAGGAGCGAAAGCAUGGGGAGCGAACAGG
RNAcentral lists this ribosomal RNA (253 nucleotides) under uncultured bacterium. RNAcentral's name for it is "partial 16S ribosomal RNA". It matches the Rfam family "Bacterial small subunit ribosomal RNA", at positions 524 to 776 of the family's 1533-position model. The record is from RNAcentral.